Molecule: long non-coding RNA, 311 nt
Filed under: Parus major (Great Tit)
Lineage: Eukaryota; Metazoa; Chordata; Aves; Passeriformes; Paridae
Description: lncRNA (ENSPMJG00000008707.1)
Source: RNAcentral
GCAAACUCCAGAUGUGCAGACGUGCAUGGAUACAUUCUCUUCAUAAAGAGUCUUCAAGAUGGUUCCUCUGCCCUGAUUAGACAUGUACCAAAGUGCCUGAACUCUGGUGUGGAUUGGACACACCACACAAAGAGGCUGGAGAGCUGUGAAUUGUGAGUUGUUGCAGGUCUCAGUGAGGGCAGCACUGCCAUCACUUGAAAACCUUCUCCUGCUUGGGGUGACAUGAAAUCCCCAGCAGUCUGGGUCAUCUACAACAGGUUUGUCUUUCCAUAGCUGUUAUGUUUCUUUAAUAAAGGAUUUGAAAAAAAACA